GAUGAACGCUGACAGCAUGCUUAACACAUGCAAGUCUUUCGCGAAGAUGUGCUUGUACCGCCUAGCCAAGGCGGACGGGUGAGUAAAGCGUCAGGAACAUGCCCUCCAGUCAGGGCUAACAGACGGAAACGACUGAUAAGACCAGGUAAAGUAAGACGGACUCACGUCUAGCCUGAUGAAAAGAGAUGCUGCAGGAGAGCCUUGCGUCCUUUUAGCUUGCUGGUGGGGUAACGGCCCACCAAGGCGAUGAUAGGUAGCCGGACUGAGAGGGUGGACGGCCACAAGGUGACUGAGAUACGGCGCAUAGUCCUACGGGAGACAGGAGUAGGGAAUAUUGGACAAUGGGGGCAAAGUUAAUACAGCAAUUCGGUGUGAAAGAUGAAUGUUUUCGGAAGGAAAAGUGCUUUCAGCAGGAAAGACAUAAUGACGGUACCUGCAGAAGAAGCGACGGCUAAAUACGUG
This 462-nucleotide ribosomal RNA is filed under the name uncultured bacterium. RNAcentral describes it as "partial 16S ribosomal RNA". It matches the Rfam family "Bacterial small subunit ribosomal RNA", at positions 28 to 507 of the family's 1533-position model. The record is from RNAcentral.